AUUCCAGCUCCAAUAGCGUAUAUUAAAGUUGUUGCAGUUAAAAAGCUCGUAGUUGGAUUUCUGACAGGGGGCCGAACACCACUGUAGUGAGUGUUUUGGUACCUGUCAUCCUUCUGUUAACCCUAGCGUCAUUCAUUUGUCGUUGGGCGGACCAGAUACUUUACCUUGAGAAAAUUAGAGUGUUUCAGGCAGGCCUAGCCGGAAUACAUUAGCAUGGAAUAAUGGAAUAGGACUAUAGUCUCGUCGUUGGUUACGUGGACUGCAGUAAUGAUUAAUAGGGAUAGUUGGGGGUGCUAGUAUUGGCCGGCCAGAGGUGAAAUUCUUGGAUUCGGUCAAGACCAACUUAUGCGAAAGCAUUCACCAAGGAUGUCUUCAUCA
This 378-nucleotide ribosomal RNA is filed under the name Strombidiidae sp. RNAcentral's name for it is "partial small subunit ribosomal RNA". It matches the Rfam family "Eukaryotic small subunit ribosomal RNA", at positions 582 to 975 of the family's 1831-position model. The record is from RNAcentral. Lineage: Eukaryota; Ciliophora; Spirotrichea; Strombidiidae.